This 253-nucleotide ribosomal RNA is filed under the name uncultured bacterium. RNAcentral describes it as "partial 16S ribosomal RNA". It matches the Rfam family "Bacterial small subunit ribosomal RNA", at positions 524 to 776 of the family's 1533-position model. The record is from RNAcentral.
UACGUAGGGGGCAAGCGUUGUCCGGAUUUAUUGGGCGUAAAGAGCGUGUAGGCGGCUUUACAGGUCCGUUGUGAAAACUCGAGGCUCAACCUCGAGACGCCGGUGGAAACCAUCUAGCUAGAGUCCGGAAGAGGAGAGUGGAAUUCCUGGUGUAGCGGUGAAAUGCGCAGAUAUCAGGAAGAACACCCGUGGCGAAGGCGGCUCUCUGGGACGUGACUGACGCUGAGACGCGAAAGCGUGGGGAGCAAACAGG